AUAAAUCUAAUGCGUAGAAUUAGUAGUUAAACUAUUAUGGUUUUAGAGAGUUGGCGCAGGUGAAAGUCCAAUACCAGAGGUUUAAUGAAUGGAUCUACAAAGAGUUUGGCGAAAUGGCUUUUCAGAGUAGCUAAUACUGGGGGUUUCCCGUUAUAGAAACAGGAUAUCUAGCAAUGCUAUGUAUCUGCUGAGUGAGAUUAUCUAAUGGAUAAUCUAAUUAAGGUGGUACCGCGAAAUAAUAGUCUUUCGUCCUUUUC
This 257-nucleotide non-coding RNA is filed under the name Tissierella praeacuta. RNAcentral describes it as "T-box sequence". It matches the Rfam family "T-box leader". From Rfam's summary of the family: Uncharged tRNA acts as the effector for transcription antitermination of genes in the T-box leader family. The record is from RNAcentral. Lineage: Bacteria; Bacillati; Bacillota; Tissierellia; Tissierellales; Tissierellaceae.